UACGUAGGGGCCAAGCGUUGUCCGGAUUUAUUGGGCGUAAAGAGCUCGUAGGUGGUUCGGCAAGUCAGUUGUGAAAUCUCCGCGCUCAACGCGGAGGGGGCAGCUGAAACUGCUGUGACUUGAGUCUGGUAGGGGAGUGUGGAAUUCCCGGUGUAGCGGUGAAAUGCGCAGAUAUCGGGAGGAACACCAGUGGCGAAGGCGGCACUCUGGGCCAGUACUGACACUGAGGAGCGAAAGCGUGGGGAGCGAACAGG
RNAcentral lists this ribosomal RNA (254 nucleotides) under uncultured bacterium. RNAcentral's name for it is "partial 16S ribosomal RNA". It matches the Rfam family "Bacterial small subunit ribosomal RNA", at positions 524 to 776 of the family's 1533-position model. The record is from RNAcentral.